RNAcentral lists this ribosomal RNA (301 nucleotides) under uncultured bacterium. RNAcentral describes it as "partial 16S ribosomal RNA". It matches the Rfam family "Bacterial small subunit ribosomal RNA", at positions 509 to 807 of the family's 1533-position model. The record is from RNAcentral.
CAGUAGCCGCGGUAAUACGAAGGGGGCUAGCGUUGUUCGGAUUUACUGGGCGUAAAGCGCAUGUAGGCGGAAAUUUAAGUCAGAGGUGAAAUCCCGAGGCUCAACCUCGGAACUGCCUUUGAUACUGGGUUUCUUGAGUCCGGAAGAGGUGAGUGGAACUGCGAGUGUAGAGGUGAAAUUCGUAGAUAUUCGCAAGAACACCAGUGGCGAAGGCGGCUCACUGGUCCGGAACUGACGCUGAGGUGCGAAAGCGUGGGGAGCAAACAGGAUUAGAUACCCCCGUAGUCCCUGUCUCUUAUAC